RNAcentral lists this ribosomal RNA (349 nucleotides) under uncultured bacterium. Its description in RNAcentral is "bacterial SSU rRNA". It matches the Rfam family "Bacterial small subunit ribosomal RNA", at positions 917 to 1267 of the family's 1533-position model. The record is from RNAcentral.
GGGCCCGCACAAGCGGUGGAGCAUGUGGUUUAAUUCGAUGCAACGCGAAGAACCUUACCUACUCUUGACAUCCAGAGAACUUAGCAGAGAUGCUUUGGUGCCUUCGGGAACUCUGAGACAGGUGCUGCAUGGCUGUCGUCAGCUCGUGUUGUGAAAUGUUGGUUAAGUCCCGCAACGAGCGCAACCCUUAUCCUUUGUUGCCAGCGGUCCGGCCGGGAACUCAAAGGAGACUGCCAGUGAUAAACUGGAGGAAGGUGGGGAUGACGUCAAGUCAUCAUGGCCCUUACGAGUAGGGCUACACACGUGCUACAAUGGCAUAUACAAAGAGAAGCGACCUCGCGAGAGCAAG